This 402-nucleotide ribosomal RNA is filed under the name Phaeophyceae sp. RNAcentral's name for it is "partial small subunit ribosomal RNA". It matches the Rfam family "Eukaryotic small subunit ribosomal RNA", at positions 582 to 975 of the family's 1831-position model. Lineage: Eukaryota; Phaeophyceae. The record is from RNAcentral.
AUUCCAGCUCCAAUAGCGUAUAUUAAAGUUGCUGCAGUUAAAAAGCUCGUAGUUGGAUUUGUGGCGCGGCCGUCCGGCGGGGCUCCUUCAUUGGGGCCGUUUGUCUGGUUUUUCGGCCGCACCAUUCUCGGGUAGUGUGUCGCUGGCAUUAGGUUGUCGGCUUCUUCACGCCCGUCAUUUACUGUGAAAAAAUUAGAGUGUUCAAAGCAGGCUUAGGCCAUUGGAUACAUUAGCAUGGAAUAAUGAGAUAGGGCCACGACGGUCUAUUUUGUUGGUUUGCACGUUGUGGUAAUGAUUAACAGGAACGGUUGGGGGUAUUCGUAUUCAAUUGUCAGAGGUGAAAUUCUUGGAUUUAUGGAAGACGAACUACUGCGAAAGCAUUUACCAAGGAUGUUUUCAUUG